UGGUGCUGGUAGGGCUGGCUAUGGGGCUGGUUCUGGUAGGGCUGGCUAUGGGGCUGGUUAUGGGGCUGGUGGUACCAGUGGGGCUGGUUCCGGUAGGGCUGGCUAUGGGGCUGGUGGUACCAGUGGGGCUGGUUCCGCUAGGGAUGGCUAUGGGGCUGGUGCUGGUAGAGCUGGUUAUGGGGCUGGUGCUGGUAGGGCUGGCUAUGGGGCUGGUGGUACCAGUAGGGCUGGUUCUGGUAGGGCUGGCUAUGAUGGGUCCAGUGGUUCCAGUGGGGCUGGUUCUGGUAGGGCUGGUUCUGGUAGGGCUGGUUAUGGGGCUGGUGGUACCAAUAGGGCUGGUUCUGGUAGGGAUGGCUAUGGGGCUGGUGGUACCAGUGGGGCUGGUUCUGGUAGGGCUGGCUAUGAUGGGUCCAGUGGUAUCAGUGGGGCUGGUUCAUGUAGGGCUGGCUAUGGGGCUGGUGGUACCAGUAGGGCUGGUUCCGGUAGCGAUGGCUAUGGGGCUGGUCUAGUAGGGCUGGCUGUGAUGGGUCCAGUGGUACCAGUGGGGCUGGUUCUGGUAGGGCUGGCUAUGGGGCUGGCGGUACCAGUAGGGCUGGUGCCAGUAGGGCUGGCUACAAUGGGUCCAGUGGUACCAGUGGGGCUGGCUUUGAUGGGGCUGGUGGUACCAGUGGGGCUGGUUCUGGUAGGGCUGGCUAUGAUGGGUCCAGUGGUAUCAGUGGGGCUGGUUCUGGUAGGGCUGGUUAUGGGGCUGGUUCCAGUAGGGCUGGCUAUGGGGCUGGUGGUACCAGUAAGGCUGGUUCCGGUAGGGCUGGCUAUGGGGCUGGUUCCGGUAGGGCUGGCUAUGGGGCUGGCUCUGGUAGGGCUGGCUAUGAUGGGUCCAGUGAUACCAAUGGGGCUGGUUCCGGUAGGGCUGGUUCCGGUAGGGCUGGCUAUGGGGCUGGUUCCGGUAGGGCUGGCAAUGGGGCUGGUGGUACCAGUAGGGCUGGUUCCGGUAGGGCUGGUUCAGGUAGGGCUGGUGGUACCAAUAGGGCUGGUUCUGGUGGUGCUCUCAAUGGGUCCAGUGGUACCGGUGGUACCGGUUCUGGUGGUGCCGUCAAUGAUGGGUCCGGUGGUACCGGUUCUGAUGGUACCGGUUCUGGUGGUACCAGUGUUGGUGGUUCUGGUAUUGCUGGUACCGGUGUCUGUAUGGUACCAAUGGGGGCUGUUGUGGUUCCGGUUCCGGUUCUGGUUCCGGUUCUGGUUCUGGUUCUGGUCCCGGUGUCGCUCUAUGAUGGAGCUGGGGGGUUCCCAGGGGGUGACACGGGGAUGGAGCUGAUGGAGCUGGAACUGGGGGGGGG
RNAcentral lists this long non-coding RNA (1337 nucleotides) under Coturnix japonica (Japanese quail). Its description in RNAcentral is "lncRNA (ENSCJPG00005006752.1)". The record is from RNAcentral. Lineage: Eukaryota; Metazoa; Chordata; Aves; Galliformes; Phasianidae.